ACUUACAGAGUUAUUGAGCAAACCACAAUAUGUACUAGGGUUUUGAAAGUUUUGAACCUAAAUAUUUCAGAAAGUAGGCCAUUAGGGCCCCAUCAGAAAUUUUAACUUAACCCCACUGCCAGAAUGUCCAACUUCCGACUUUACAUAAGCAAACUCAAUACUGACUACAUUGAAUCAUGAAAAUUAAAGGCAGCAAUCUGCUCAGCCUAGAAGUUAAGUAAGUUAAUCUCAGAACAACACUAGGGCAAAGAUAUACCUAAACCCAAAAUUUACUAAAACAAAUGCAUAAAUCGAAGUACUAUUGUUGCCCAUUACGAGUAGGCGCUUCAGCCCAAUUUCCCAAUAAAGACACCUUAAACCAAACAAAUGAACAUCACCAGAUCAAAUACAAAAUGAAAAAUAUCAGCGUGCACCAAUCUAUAGCCAUUUCCUGAUUUGGGUGACUUGUUUAGGCAUGCAUUUGCUAGCCACCAAAGUUAUAAUUCAGGAUGGAUCCCAUAAAUCAGUCUCAAUUCUACUAAAAAAUUCUGAUGCCAAGAAUCAGAGUUCGAUGAAAGAAGAUAUUGCGCCUAUGAGCCAUACACAAAGACAUCGAUCCAAUUCCAGAUCACCAUAAGUAACUACAUAAAGGCAUAAUCAACUAAAUCACAAAGAAAAAUAACAGACCGGAAUCAAAGCGGGAAAAAAAAUAAACAACGAAUGGUAUUAAGCCCCAAAUCAGCUAGUAAUUCAAGAGAAAUGGAUAUAUCUGAGGGUUUUGCAUUUACAGUCUCGAAAGACGAUAUUGUCUCCCCUUUGUGAGAGAACGAAAAUCUGUGAGAUCAUGGCGGCGAGUAGUAGACCCGCUAACGUCGAGCUUCGAAAGAGGAAUAGCAGAGAUAUCUGAAUUUCAGUUCCAUGAUAUUCGAUAUGACUGCGUCUUCCCCUUUGUUUUCUUUUAGCUUAAAGGGGAAAUAUCUGUAUAAGUCAUCGAGCUUAUACUGUUCAAAUACGGUGCAUCUCAAAAAUCCCAGAGGCAUGGCGUGUUUGAUAACAGGAACCAACCAAAUGAACUCAAAAUUGGAAGGUACUGAAGAACAGUAAACUAGAUUUACUUAAGAAGUUCAUGAUUUCGAUAUUUG
Molecule: long non-coding RNA, 1121 nt
Filed under: Amborella trichopoda
Lineage: Eukaryota; Viridiplantae; Streptophyta; Magnoliopsida; Amborellales; Amborellaceae
Description: long non-coding RNA (ATRI_LNC003767)
Source: RNAcentral